RNAcentral lists this ribosomal RNA (495 nucleotides) under uncultured bacterium. RNAcentral's name for it is "partial 16S ribosomal RNA". It matches the Rfam family "Bacterial small subunit ribosomal RNA", at positions 28 to 507 of the family's 1533-position model. The record is from RNAcentral.
GACGAACGCUGGCGGCGUGCCUAAUACAUGCAAGUAGAACGCUGAAGGAGGAGCUUGCUCUUCUGGAUGAGUUGCGAACGGGUGAGUAACGCGUAGGUAACCUGCCUGGUAGCGGGGGAUAACUAUUGGAAACGAUAGCUAAUACCGCAUAAUAGUAGAUGUUGCAUGAUAUUUACUUAAAAGGUGCAAUUGCACCACUACCAGAUGGACCUGCGUUGUAUUAGCUAGUUGGUGGGGUAACGGCUCACCAAGGCGACGAUACAUAGCCGACCUGAGAGGGUGAUCGGCCACACUGGGACUGAGACACGGCCCAGACUCCUACGGGAGGCAGCAGUAGGGAAUCUUCGGCAAUAGACGAAAGUCUGACCGAGCAACGCCGCGUGAGUGAAGAAGGUUUUCGGAUCGUAAAGCUCGGUUGUAAGAGAAGAACGAGUGUGAGAGUGGAAAGUUCACACUGUGACGGUAUCUUACCAGAAAGGGACGGCUAACUACGUG